RNAcentral lists this ribosomal RNA (1421 nucleotides) under uncultured organism. RNAcentral describes it as "bacterial SSU rRNA". It matches the Rfam family "Bacterial small subunit ribosomal RNA". The record is from RNAcentral.
CCUGGCUCAGAACGAACGCUGGCGGAGUGCUUAAUACAUGCAAGUCGAGCGAGAAAGUAUCUUCGGGUAAUGAGUAGAGCGGCGAACGGGUGAGUAACACGUAAGCAACCUUCCCUUAAGUUCGGAAUAACCCUGCUAACGCGGGGCUAAUACCGGAGAAAUUUUAAUGCCUCAUGGUAUAAAAAUCGAAGCGGCUUUUGUCGUGCUUGAGGAUGGGCUUGCGCCCCAUUAGUUAGUUGGUAAGGUAACGGCUUACCAAGGCGACGAUGGGUAGCCGACCUGAGAGGGUGAUCGGCCACAUUGGGACUGAGAUACGGCCCAGACUCCUACGGGAGGCAGCAGUAGGGAAUUUUGCGCAAUGGACGAAAGUCUGACGCAGCAACUCCGCGUGAGGGAUGACGGUUUUCGGAUUGUAAACCUCUGUUGACAGGGAAGAACCCUGAGUUUAACAAGCUCAGCUGACGGUACCUGUCGAGGAAGCCCCGGCUAAAUACGUGCCAGCAGCCGCGGUAAUACGUAUGGGGCGAGCGUUGUUCGGAAUCACUGGGCGUAAAGCGAAUGUAGGCGGAUAUGUAAGUUAGGAGUUUAAGACGGCGGCUCAACCGACGGAGUGCUCUUAAUACUGUAUAUCUUGAGUAUGGGAGAGGAAGAUGGAAUUCCAAGUGUAGCGGUGGAAUGCGUAGAUAUUCGGAAGAACACCAGUUGCGAAGGCGGUCUUCUGGCCCAAUACUGACGCUGAGGUUCGAAAGCAAGGGGAGCGAACAGGAUUAGAUACCCUGGUAGUCCUUGCCGUAAACGAUGGAUACUAGUUGUAGGUACUUUCGGGUAUCUGUGACGCAGCUAACGCAUUAAGUAUCCCGCCUGGGGAGUACGCUCGCAAGAGUGAAACUCAAAGGAAUUGACGGGGGCCCACACAAGCGGUGGAGCAUGUGCUUUAAUUCGAUGCAACGCGAAGAACCUCACCUGGCCUUGACAUGUGGAUAACCUCUUUCAGAGAUGAGAGAUUUCCUUCGGGAUAUCCAACACAGGUGCUGCAUGGUUGUCGUCAGCUCGUGUCGUGAGAUGUUGGGUUAAGUCCCGCAACGAGCGCAACCCUCAUCCUUAGUUGCCAUCAGGUAAUGCUGGGAACUCUAAGGAGACCGCCCGGUUUAACCGGGAGGAAGGUGGGGAUGACGUCAAAUCAUCAUGGCCCUUACGGCCAGGGCUAGACACGUGCUACAAUGGCCGGUACAGAGGGUUGCUAAGCCGCGAGGUGGAGCUAAUCCCAUAAAACCGGUCUCAGUUCAGAUUGGAGUCUGCAAUUCGACUCCAUGAAGUUGGAAUCGCUAGUAAUCGCGGAUCAGCAUGCCGCGGUGAUACGUUCCCGGGCCUUGUACACACCGCCCGUCAAGCCACGAAAGGUGGUAGUGCCCGAAGUCCCC